AACAGUGCCCGGGAAGAGCUGAUGGAGAGCCGGAUGAGGAUCGAGAGCCUCUCCUCACAGCUCUCUAACCUGCAGAAAGAGGUAAGCAGCGUCUUCCUUUGAGCAGGACUGAGGUGUAGCUGGAAGGCUGGCCACCUGCGCCAUCGCUGCCUCCCUGGUGCUACUUCUCUUUUGUCCCAGAUGAGACAUAUUUUCUCCUGGAUUUUCUUUUAUAUAGUGCUUUCUGGAUUCUUUUAUAUAGUGCUUUCUGGAUUCUUUUAUAUAGUGCUUUCUGGAUUCUUUUAUAUAGUGCUUUCUGGAUUCUUUUAUAUAGUGCUUUCUGGAUUCUUUUAUAUAGUGCUUUCUGGAUUUUUUUUUAUAUAGUGCUUUCUGGAUUCUUUUAUAUAGUGCUUUCUGGAUUCUUUUAUAUAGUGCUUUCUGGAUUUUUUUUUUUUAUAUAGUGCUUUCUGGAUUUUCUUUUAUAUAGUGCUUUCUGGAUUUUUUUUUUUUUUUUUUUUUUGUGGUUGUUGUUGUUGUCCAUUGCUUAAAUAUUGUGAGGCUUUGUGGAGGUGCACACCAGUAAUCCCAGCAUCAGAGAGGCAGAGAUAAGAUUGCUGCAAGUUCAAGGUUGGCCAGGGCUACAUAGUAAGAUGCUGCCUCCGACUCUCCCCUCCUCCCCAAAACACCCUUUGUACGUCAGCAAACCAACCAUGCUUUUCCUGUUUCAUAACAGUAAGUGACAGAAGUGAGGGCUGAGGGAGAUCCCGUCAGCUCUGACGUAGUGCUCACUCUGUCACAGGAUGCAGAGCUGGGCUGUCUGUCUGUCUGCCUGCCUGUCUGUUUGCCUGCCUGCCUGCCUGUCUGCCUGUCUCAUCUCUGCAGUACAGCUCCCACUCAUUUGGUCACACUUGGAAACCAAAAACAUACUCAAAUUGUAACUGGUGACUGGUGAGGUGCCUUCUUUCUAAGUCCCUGUGGUUGAAAUACUUAACGGGUUAUGAAUGUCUAUAUUCAUUAAUAGUCAUGGCCCCAUUGUCUUCCUGGUAUACCCCAGCGACAAGUGACUGCGUCACUCCUUGUGCUGACCAGCUGGCUGCAGUGUUGCCAUGCUCCAGAAGAAGUGAAGUAGGCCUGGAUGUGGCUUCAAGUCAGUUUUAUUCUGGAUAAAGUGACGCAUGCGUGGAACAAAGCCUGCAUUUAGCAUUGCCCCUGUCUGUACUGUACUGUACUGUACUGUACUGUGGGAAGUAGCUUCAGCCUUUAUUUUCCUGAGGGAAGAAAAUCCUGUUCAAAUUUUAUUAUGCCAUUUUAUUAGGCAGGUUUUUCUUUCUGUUUUUUUUUUUUGUUGUUGUUGUUGUUAUUGUUGUUAUUUUUAGCAAAAUCUUUAGGUAUAAAAUCACUAGUUACUGAGUUUAGAAAUUAAAGCAGAAAACAAGUCACAUAGAACAAUGAUAAAUCAGUUAAUAGAGAGUUUACAUUGUUGCCUUGGGUGCUUAUUAACUUGUGUCAUAAAACUUUAAAUUAUUUUAGAAUUAGUUUGUUCUGCUAGUAUUUUGAAGUUUCAUGUAACAAUGGACUACCCACUCUAUUAAACCACAGACCAGGGUGAGUUUAAUUACUUUCCCAGAGGCUUCAGGGUAGCAAAUUCCUUCCCAGAAUUCCCUUUAUGUCUAACUCUCAUUGAAAAUCAUCUUGGAGAAAUUUGUUCUCUGUUGCACCACCUGACUUAGUCUUCUUGGGCUGCUAUAGCAAAAUGUUACAAAUGACUUCCCCCAAGCUUGAGAUGAUCUGUCUCCUUCCUUCCGAGCCCUCCUCCCCCACCUCAGGCCCCCAUGAUUGCUCAGUAAGUACUUCACUGACUGAGUAGCUCCGCAGCCCAGUUCAGGAGCUUGGAAUGGCUAAGUCCAGGAGAGAGAGAAUGGUGAGUUCCCAUCUCACACCUCUAGAUGGCGCUCUCCGUGUCGUGUGGUAGGAGGGCAAAUACAGUGCACUCCCCAGGGCCUGUUUUAUGAAAGUGCCAAUUGUAGUUCGGAGGCCUCAGCUCUCCCUUGCACUCUUUUAGCACUGCCAAGUUACAGGAGUGAGAUUUUCAACAUGCGAAACUGGGGGACAUUAACUGGUACGUUCCUACAAAUGGGCCUCCCUGCUCCUGCGAUAAAUUGAUGUCGACCACUCUCCCCGUAAGACAGUGCUCACUUCUCCGUCUUGUUUGUGUGCCUGUUGCUUCUCUUGAGGCUGAUCUUUGUUUUACAGCUGAGGAGGCCGAGACUUACAUAGCAGUGGGUUCGGGGACUCUUGAGUUCAGUCUUUAGUUUUGUGCUAUUAUUCUCCGUUUUCUACAAGCGCUUCCAGGUUAGUGGGUUUUAAACUGUUGCCUUGGGCUUUCUAGGAGCCUCCUGCCUUAGUGAACAGACAGGCGCCUGCUUCAGCUGGAGUGGGCUUUAGUUUCUCAUUGCUGACAGGCUUUACCUGAAGAAGAGAUGAGCACACUCCCAUACUUGCUGGGGAACCUGGGCAGGCUUACGGCUUUCCCAACCCUCCUGCCUCACACACAAUCCUGCAAUUUCAGGUGUGUGCCCCUGUGUCCAGUCU
RNAcentral lists this long non-coding RNA (2571 nucleotides) under Mus musculus (house mouse). RNAcentral's name for it is "long non-coding RNA chr18:56733256-56735827". Lineage: Eukaryota; Metazoa; Chordata; Mammalia; Rodentia; Muridae. The record is from RNAcentral.